RNAcentral lists this ribosomal RNA (400 nucleotides) under uncultured bacterium. RNAcentral describes it as "bacterial SSU rRNA". It matches the Rfam family "Bacterial small subunit ribosomal RNA", at positions 355 to 772 of the family's 1533-position model. The record is from RNAcentral.
UGGGGAAUAUUGCACAAUGGGCGAAAGCCUGAUGCAGCGACGCCGCGUGAGUGAUGAAGUAUUUCGGUAUGUAAAGCUCUAUCAGCAGGGAAGAAAAUGACGGUACCUGACUAAGAAGCUCCGGCUAAAUACGUGCCAGCAGCCGCGGUAAUACGUAUGGAGCAAGCGUUAUCCGGAUUUACUGGGUGUAAAGGGAGUGUAGGCGGUCUAAAAAGUCUGAUGUGAAAACCCGGGGCUCAACCGCGGGAUUGCAUUGGAAACUUUUAGACUAGAGUAUCGGAGAGGCAAGCGGAAUUCCUGGUGUAGAGGUGAAAUUCGUAGAUAUCAGGAAGAACAUCGGUGGCGAAGGCGGCUUGCUGGACGACAACUGACGCUGAGGCUCGAAAGCGUGGGAAGCGAA